UAUAUUCCACCUCCUAGGAAACAAAAAUUCCACAGAUUUUAUGCCCUGUGGGGUGGGCCAGUUCAGUCACUUGGACAAAUGAAGGAAGAGGAUUUACACGUUGUUCUUGAUGAACCAGAGCUGAAGGAUGCUUCCACAGAUUGUCUUCACAAUGAGACCCUGUCAUUCUGAUAAAGGAGUAGUGAGUCCAUCAGAGUCUCCUCCAGAAAGCAGAAAUCCUGGUUCAAGCAGUCCUGGGACUCAGACCUGGAAUAAUUUGUUUAGUGAUGGGAGGGGACAAAGUGGGGUUUGGUCUCCACCCUAUUGCUGGUCUCCUGUGGGGACACUUAGGGGGGUGAUUUAGUAAUAAGAGGACCUGUAUUUACCCUUUUUAUAACCUUUUCUGGGGCAGAGAUUAAAGGAUGACAAUGAAAUCUUCUCACAACCUUUCAAUCCCAUUAAACUUCACCCAGGGGAAAUACCAUAAGACCUUAAACAAAGGAACAAGUCCCUCCCUAAAUAGAUUAGAGGACAUACAUCAAGCAAGCAAGAUCUCUAAACAAAGGAAUCCUAAGCAGGGUUAUUUCUUCUCCUUCAAUGCAAGCAAAGCAGGUAUUUUAAAAGGAAGGAUGCAGUGACCCUUGGCCAACUUGCUUCAGAGAAAUGGCUAUAGUCUCAGUGCACUGCUUUAAUAAUAGUAAUAAGGAUAAAUCACUACAUGACUAAAGUCAUAUACCAAAAAGCAUUUCCUGACAUCUCAUAGAGAAACACACUAGGAGGACACUGAGAUCAGUAAACAUUAGGAGCUGGGCUAGGAAGACCCAUCAUCCUUUGGACAUUUUGUUAGCAUAACUUAAUUAGUACCCACAAUCCUCUGAGGCUGAGGGAUGUUCAGGUUGCAUAUACAUGCCCAAGCAAAACAAAGGCCAUAGCCCUCAAAAUCGAUUGAUCUUCACCCCUUCUCCAUAAAUUUUUGCCAGGAUGAACUUAAACUGAUUAGGCACAGAACCCAUUGUUGAGAGUGAGGCAGCAGCUUCGGGUGAAAGAAGGAUUCUGGGAAUUCCUUGGGUGGUAACACUCAGACUCCGAAGACUAAACCUGUUCAAGACGGCACAAUCGGCAGAGGCCCAGGCAUCCGGCACUUGACUGCUGUACAGUAGAUGGGCCCGGUGACUAAUUUCAUCCAAAAGUAGAAUCACAGGGAAUCUCAGAACUGCUCUGAUACUGUGCUCAUGGUCCUGGAGUAAGAAGUAAAAGCCAGCCAAGUGGGAAAUCUAAAAACUACAAAAAAAAUUC
This is a long non-coding RNA of Artibeus jamaicensis (Jamaican fruit-eating bat), 1275 nucleotides long. RefSeq lists it as uncharacterized. The transcript has 3 exons. NCBI's taxonomy places the organism in Eukaryota, Metazoa, Chordata, Mammalia, Chiroptera, Phyllostomidae. The record is from RefSeq and is a predicted model, not a curated record.